CUGAAGUUUUCAUCAACUCAAUCGAUUGAGAAAUCGAUGGAAGAUUUGGAAAAUCUUUUAAAGAAUCGAUUGGAUAAUCGAUUGUUUGGUUCUGACAUCCACAAAUUUGAGAAGUUUUCAAACCUCAAACCCGAGCAUUGAUUGGAUCAACUUUGUUUUGGACCUGCACUUAUGUGAGUCGAUUUGGAAAUCGAUGCUGAGAUUUGAAGUUUUCUGAACUUACAAGGAAAUCGAUUUGGAUAUCGUUUUAGUAAAGAAGGAUCAAUUACGAAAUCGAUUUGGAAAUCGAUUUACAAGACGUCAGUUGAGAAAAAUUAUAGCCGUUGGAAGUGGGUGUAACAGAUACUUUUUUAUUU
Molecule: long non-coding RNA, 356 nt
Filed under: Cicer arietinum (chickpea)
Lineage: Eukaryota; Viridiplantae; Streptophyta; Magnoliopsida; Fabales; Fabaceae
Description: long non-coding RNA (CARI_LNC003667)
Source: RNAcentral